ACAAAGGCCCUUUUCAGGGCCCCCAAACCAUCAAAAAUGAGCUGU
Molecule: non-coding RNA, 45 nt
Organism: Rattus norvegicus (Norway rat)
Lineage: Eukaryota; Metazoa; Chordata; Mammalia; Rodentia; Muridae
Source: Rfam